AACGAACGCUGGCGGCAUGCCUAACACAUGCAAGUCGAACGAGACCUUCGGGUCUAGUGGCGCAUGGGUGCGUAACGCGUGGGAACCUGCCCUUAGGUCCGGAAUAACUCCCCGAAAGGGGUGCUAAUACCGGAUAAUGUCCUCGGACCAAAGAUUUAUCGCCUUUGGAUGGGCCCGCGUUGGAUCAGCCAGAUGGUAGGGUAAAACCCUACCAGGGCGACGAUCCAUAGCUGGUCUGAGAGGAUGAUCAGCGACACUGGGACUGAGACACGGCCCAGACUCCUACGGGAGGCAGCAGUGGGGAAUAGUGGACAAUGGGCGGAAGCCUGAUCCAGCACUGCCGCGUGAGUAAUGAAGGCCUUAGGGUUGUAAAGUUCUUUUACCCGGGACUGUAAUGACAGUACCAAGAGAAUAAGCUCCGGCUAACUCCGUG
Molecule: ribosomal RNA, 433 nt
Filed under: uncultured bacterium
Lineage: Bacteria
Description: partial 16S ribosomal RNA
Rfam family: Bacterial small subunit ribosomal RNA
Source: RNAcentral